ACUCCUACGGGAGGCAGCAGUAGGGAAUCUUCCACAAUGGGCGCAAGCCUGAUGGAGCAACACCGCGUGAGUGAAGAAGGGUUUCGGCUCGUAAAGCUCUGUUGUUAAAGAAGAACACGUAUGAGAGUAACUGUUCAUACGUUGACGGUAUUUAACCAGAAAGUCACGGCUAACUACGUGCCAGCAGCCGCGGUAAUACGUAGGUGGCAAGCGUUAUCCGGAUUUAUUGGGCGUAAAGAGAGUGCAGGCGGUUUUCUAAGUUCUGAUGUGAAACGCCUUCGGCUUAACCGGGAGAAGUGCAUCGGAAACUGGAUAACUUGAGUGCAGAAGAGGGUAGUGGAACUCCAUGUGUAGCGGUGGAAUGCGUAGAUAUAUGGAAGAACACCAGUGGCGAAGGCGGCUACCUGGUCUGCAACUGACGCUGAGACGUCGAAAGCAU
Molecule: ribosomal RNA, 439 nt
Filed under: uncultured bacterium
Lineage: Bacteria
Description: bacterial SSU rRNA
Rfam family: Bacterial small subunit ribosomal RNA
Source: RNAcentral